This 301-nucleotide ribosomal RNA is filed under the name uncultured bacterium. Its description in RNAcentral is "partial 16S ribosomal RNA". It matches the Rfam family "Bacterial small subunit ribosomal RNA", at positions 509 to 807 of the family's 1533-position model. The record is from RNAcentral.
CAGUCGCCACGGUAAUACAGAGGGUGCGAGCGUUAAUCGGAUUUACUGGGCGUAAAGCGUGCGUAGGCGGCUUCUUAAGUCGGAUGUGAAAUCCCUGAGCUUAACUUAGGAAUUGCAUUCGAUACUGGGAAGCUAGAGUAUGGGAGAGGAUGGUAGAAUUCCAGGUGUAGCGGUGAAAUGCGUAGAGAUCUGGAGGAAUACCGAUGGCGAAGGCAGCCAUGUGGCCUAAUACUGACGCUGAGGUACGAAAGCAUGGGGAGCAAACAGGAUUAGAUACCCCAGUAGUCCCUGUCUCUUAUAC